GCUAGUAAUCGCGGAUCAGAAUGCCGCGGUGAAUACGUUCCCGGGUCUUGUACACACCGCCCGUCACACCAUGGGAGUCAGUAACGCCCGAAGCCGGUGACCCAACCUAUUCUGGAGGGAGCCGUCGAAGGCGGGACGGAUGACUGGGGUGAAGUCGUAACAAGGUAGC
This 169-nucleotide ribosomal RNA is filed under the name uncultured bacterium. RNAcentral's name for it is "partial 16S ribosomal RNA". It matches the Rfam family "Bacterial small subunit ribosomal RNA", at positions 1334 to 1500 of the family's 1533-position model. The record is from RNAcentral.